CUUGGCUUUUCGUCUUUUCACGUAUGAACGAGUUUUGCAAAGAUAUUUUUAUUGUGAUAAAAAUCAGCGUCUUAAGGUGUAGUGAGUGAUUGCCCCACAUUAUGUCUAAGCAGAGUGUACAAUGAGGAAAUAUUGUUCUUACCCAGGCUGCCGAACUGGGCGAGAUGCCAGCAGAGCAAACUGCAAGCGCUUAGGACGACGGCAACACAAUCAUAGCGUAAGAAGACGUAUCGCGAGUAUUCACGUACAGAUGGCCUCGCCGCACAAGCCAAUAUUUCCACCAGGCAGAACGAUCGCUCAGUAUUACGAGGAGCUCGAGGCUAAACAAAAGCGGCUCAAUAAGAUGGGCGAGUUUCUUGUCGAUCACCGGUGGUCGAAGUGAUGUUUUCGAGAGCAGCACGUCGCAGAUGUUCGAGAGCUCGACCAAUCGGAAUGUCGUCUCGAGCGGUAACCGAGUAUGUGGAAAUCGACUGAUCAUCUGUGCAUCCUGUGAUGCAACCAAUUGGUCCAGAUGAACCUUCGGGCACUUUUUGACUGUGUGGAUACGAAAACUCAUCUGCCUAGUAUAACUUACGACUCGGAACGGAAAAUUCGUGCCCUUGAUUGUUAUUUCCGAAGCGUAAGUUGAUAGUUGAGAAUUUUCAGAGAUUCUUGACAAUCUUGUUCAAUCGUAACGUGAUGUUACAAUGUUUUCAACGUAAAUUCGAAAAAAACGUCUUCCAUACGAGGACAAGACAAAAUUCGAGCCGGGAAGCGAAUGGAUCAAAGACAUCAUUAGACUAUACACUUGGAGUCUAAAAGCCGUUUUUCAAUUAGAACAUAUCACUGAUUGAAUUGGGUUUCAUAGAUUUUUUCAAAAAAUUGUCACUUGAGAACGGGAUGGAAAGAAAAAUGUAAAAAAAUAUGGUAGCCUUUACUAAUGUGAGUGAACGACAUACAAAAUUUCGGGUCGAAUCGAAAAGGGUGAGGGUCGGAGCCUGGUCGAAUUCGGGAUCGGAAGA
Long non-coding RNA from Neodiprion fabricii, 1001 nucleotides. RefSeq lists it as uncharacterized. Lineage: Eukaryota; Metazoa; Arthropoda; Insecta; Hymenoptera; Diprionidae. The record is from RefSeq and is a predicted model, not a curated record. The transcript is spliced from 3 exons.